CUCUCCAUCCUCACCAUGCGUAUAGGAGUGCUGGUCAGGUCCCUCUCUGUGACCAGUCGGUCCUGGUCUGUGACGUACAGUCCCUUCUGUGCCAGGGCCUGGAUGACGGCGUUGUGUCCCAGCAGAGGUUUGACGGCAUCGCUGCGGAGGAUGAGGCUCCCCGCCCGGCAGUAGAGCUCUGCAGACAGCAGUAGGGACGCCACGGGGGGCUUCAGGUGCUCCUGGCUGUACUGGUCCCUGUAGAAGGGGUCAGCCAGCUCCUCAGGGACCACAUCUUUGGAGGGAGAGAGGAAGGGACGGGUUAGUUUGAGGACACGAUGUACAUAGUAAGACUCCAGCUCCUCUGGGAGAGCAUCUAGGGAGGGAGAGGAGGGUUUAGUGUGAGGAUAGAUAGCACCUUUUUUGUAGGUGCUAUCUAAAACCUAAAAGGGUUCCUUGGCUGUCCCCAUAGGAGAACCCUUUGAAGAACCCUUUUUGAUUACAGGUAGAACCCUUUUGGAGUGUAGGCUACAUAACUGACAGCUCCUCUGGGACUGUGUCUGUAGAUGGAGAGAGGAACAGGUUAGUUUGGUCACACAAUAACUGACACUACAGUCAACUCCUCUAGGACUGUGUCUCUUGAUGAAGAGUGGGCCACUUAGACAGUCUCUGUGAGGUGUGUAGGACAGGUCCAAGCCCUGGGCCACUUAGACAGUCUCUGUGAGGUGUGUAGGACAGGUCCAAGCCCUGGGCCACUUAGACAGUCUCUGUGAGGUGUGUAGGACAGGUCCAAGCCCUGGGCCACUUAGACAGUCUCUGUGAGGUGUGUAGGACAGGUCCAAGCCCUGGGCCACUUAGACAGUCUCUGUGAGGUGUGUAGGACAGGCCCUGGGCCACUUAGACAGUCUCUGUGAGGUGUGUAGGACAGGCCCAGGCCCUGGGACACUUAGACAGUCUCUGUGAGGUGUGUAGGACAGGUCCAUGCCCUGGGCCACUUAGACAGUCUCUGUGAGGUGUGUAGGACAGGUCCAUGCCCUGGGCCACUUAGACAGUCUCUGUGAGGUGUGUAGGACAGGCCCAGGCCCUG
This 1066-nucleotide long non-coding RNA is filed under the name Salmo salar (Atlantic salmon). Its description in RNAcentral is "lncRNA (ENSSSAG00000095178.1)". Lineage: Eukaryota; Metazoa; Chordata; Actinopteri; Salmoniformes; Salmonidae. The record is from RNAcentral.